AGGUGCUGCAUGGUUGUCGUCAGCUCGUGCCGUGAGGUGUCGGGUUAAGUCCCAUAACGAGCGCGACCCUACCUUUAGUGCAUCAGGUAAUGCUGGGGACUCUAAAGGAACUGCCUACGCAAGUAGUGAGGAAGCGGGGAUGACGUCAAAUCAGCACGGCCCUUACGUCCAGGGCUACACACGUGCUACAAUGGCCGAUACAGAGGGCAGCUACCUGGUGACAGGAUGCAAAUCUCCAAAGUCGGUCUCAGUUCGGAUCGGAGUCUGCAACCCGACUCCGUGAAGUUGGAUUCGCUAGUAAUCGCGCAUCAGCCAUGGCGCGGUGAAUACGUUCCCGGGCCUU
Molecule: ribosomal RNA, 343 nt
Filed under: uncultured Sphingobacteriales bacterium
Lineage: Bacteria; Pseudomonadati; Bacteroidota; Sphingobacteriia; Sphingobacteriales
Description: bacterial SSU rRNA
Rfam family: Bacterial small subunit ribosomal RNA
Source: RNAcentral